RNAcentral lists this ribosomal RNA (496 nucleotides) under uncultured bacterium. RNAcentral's name for it is "partial 16S ribosomal RNA". It matches the Rfam family "Bacterial small subunit ribosomal RNA", at positions 29 to 507 of the family's 1533-position model. The record is from RNAcentral.
AUGCACGCUGGCGGCGUGCCUAAUACAUGCAGGUCGAGCGAACAGACGAGGAGCUUGCUCCUCUGACGUUAGCGGCGGACGGGUGAGUAACACGUGGAUAACCUACCUAUAAGACUGGGAUAACUUCGGGAAACCGGAGCUAAUACCGGAUAAUAUAUUGAACCGCAUGGUUCAAUAGUGAAAGACGGUUUUGCUGUCACUUAUAGAUGGAUCCGCGCCGCAUUAGCUAGUUGGUAAGGUAACGGCUUACCAAGGCAACGAUGCGUAGCCGACCUGAGAGGGUGAUCGGCCGCACUGGAACUGAGACACGGUCCAGACUCCUACGGGAGGCAGCAGUAGGGAAUCUUCCGCAAUGGGCGAAAGCCUGACGGAGCAACGCCGCGUGAGUGAUGAAGGUCUUCGGAUCGUAAAACUCUGUUAUUAGGGAAGAACAAAUGUGUAAGUAACUAUGCACGUCUUGACGGUACCUAAUCAGAAAGCCACGGCUAACUACGUG